This 264-nucleotide long non-coding RNA is filed under the name Brassica rapa (field mustard). Its description in RNAcentral is "long non-coding RNA (BRAP_LNC006958)". Lineage: Eukaryota; Viridiplantae; Streptophyta; Magnoliopsida; Brassicales; Brassicaceae. The record is from RNAcentral.
UUGGAUCAAAGAUAUUUGGAACCACUGUGACACAACAACCGCGUCGGAUUUAAAAUACACUUUCAACAAUUCCUUUUUGUUUAUACAAAUCUUUUUUUUGUCUUUUUUUUUGGGAGUUUGUACAAAUUUGUGUGCUUUUCUUCAAGCUUCCCGGAUUCUCAAGGUUCACUGCUUGUAUUGUCCCUUGUAAUUUCUUGUUCAUUAUCUUGAUAAUAAUAUUUACAUUUCUAGAUAGCAAAAGAAAAAAAACACUUCCAAAUGUUU